This 252-nucleotide long non-coding RNA is filed under the name Vigna radiata. Its description in RNAcentral is "long non-coding RNA (VRAD_LNC007945)". Lineage: Eukaryota; Viridiplantae; Streptophyta; Magnoliopsida; Fabales; Fabaceae. The record is from RNAcentral.
UUUGAACCUACCACUACAAAACAUUAAAAAAUAAAAAUUUAUUACUUAAAAAAAACCAACUUCAUAUAAUAGCAAAACUUUUACUCACCUUUAGGUUUCCGGACGCCAUUGCAACUGCAAAUAUUUCAUACAAAUACAUCAAUGGUGGAUUAGGGUUCAAAAAGCACAAAAAAAAUUAAAUAAAACAAAAAUAAAGUACGCUUCCACAAGCCACACAAUGCGAUAUAAAGCAAAUACUCGAAAGGCACAAAG